This is a ribosomal RNA of Drosophila willistoni, 1007 nucleotides long. It matches the Rfam family "Eukaryotic small subunit ribosomal RNA", at positions 1 to 813 of the family's 1831-position model. Lineage: Eukaryota; Metazoa; Arthropoda; Insecta; Diptera; Drosophilidae. The record is from Rfam.
AUUCUGGUUGAUCCUGCCAGUAGUUAUAUGCUUGUCUCAAAGAUUAAGCCAUGCAUGUCUAAGUACACACGAAUUAAAAGUGAAACCGCAAAAGGCUCAUUAUAUCAGUUAUGGUUGCUUAGAUCGUUAACAGUUACUUGGAUAACUGUGGUAAUUCUAGAGCUAAUACAUGCAAUUAAAACACGGACCUUCUGGGACGUGUGCUUUUAUUAGACUAAAACCAAGCGAUCAAUUGAUCGUUAUAUUGGUUGAACUCUAGAUAACAUGCAGAUCGUAUGGUCUUGUACCGACGACAGAUCUUUUUAAUGUCUGCCCUAUCAACUUUUGAUGGUAGUAUCUAGGACUACCAUGGUUGCAACGGGUAGCGGGGAAUCAGGGUUCGAUUCCGGAGAGGGAGCCUGAGAAACUGCUACCACAUCUAAGGAAGGCAGCAGGCGCGUAAAUUACCCACUCCCAGCUCGGGGAGGUAGUGACGAAAAAUAACAAUACAGGACUCAUAUCCGAGGCCCUGUAAUUGGAAUGAAAUCCUUUAACACUUUAAAUCCUUUAACAAGGUCCAAUUGGAGGGAAAGUCUGGUGCCAGCAGCCGCGGUAAUUCCAGCUCCAAAAGCGUAUAUUAAAGUUGUUGCGGUUAAAACGUUCGUAGUUGAACUUGUGCUAUAUACGGGUAUUGUUGAGUGGUACCUUCAAACAUAAAUGGUCAAUUUCGAGAGUAUGUGGCACAAAACCUACUUAGGUGGUGUGAUGUCGAGCAUGGUCAGUCAUAUGUAAUAUCACAGAGAAAUCAGCACAAGUUACAUUCACCCUAAAAAGAGGAUACUGUCCCCACGUCCAGUUGGAUGGAUGCAUAAUACCUUCUUCCGACUAUGCCAAAUAUCUGGGUGUCACUCUGGACAGGAGACUGACCUGGAAGUCUCACUUGAAAAACAAGAGGCUAUUGCUGAAUUUAAAACUCAAAAGCUACAUGUGGCUCAUAGGCAGAAGUCGACACUGCGGCUGCGCAUGAA